GGAAUUGGCCCUCUGAAAAACGUCUCUGCAGAGCGCCCCCACGCCGGGCAUAAAUACCCGGGGCACCCCCGCGACUCCGCCAUUACUCCGCGGCAUCAGGCAGGCUAGCCGUGCUCCCUCCCAUCUCUUCUCUUCUCUUGUCUUCUCUUCUCUCCCCCAAGGAGGUCAAAGACACAGCGCAUCUGCAUCCGGCCUCCUCCGCGCGCGCGAAUUCGGGAGGGAGAGGGGCGGUAAUGGGGAGGGCUCCGUGCUGCGAGAAGAUGGGCCUCAAGAGGGGCCCCUGGACGCCGGAGGAGGACAAGAUCCUGGUCGCCCACAUCCACAGCCACGGCCACGGCAACUGGCGCGCGCUGCCCAAGCAAGCCGGCCUGCUGCGGUGCGGCAAGAGCUGCCGGCUCCGGUGGAUCAACUACCUGCGGCCGGACAUCAAGCGCGGCAACUUCACCGACGAGGAGGAGCAGUCAAUCAUCCAGCUGCACCAGCUGCUCGGCAACAGGUGCCUACCACUCCUCCUCGCCUCCUUCCUCCUCCUCCUCCUCCUCCAUCACAUCUCCACCGUUCCCCUCCUGCUAAAACGGGGGCAAUCAUUGCCGCUGCUUGCUUCAAUCGCAAAACAGAGGAGAGGUUUAUUAUUAUUAUAUAUUAUUCCCCUUUUUUCCCUUUUUCUUCGCGGGGGCAAAAAAAAAAAAACAUUAUGUUACUACCAUCCAUCGCGGGCCCCGCCCGAAGUAAAGAAUAAUCGCAAGUGCGGAUUUGUUUACGGCUAAUUGCAUCGCCGGUGAUGCGCGAGAUCUUGAAAGAUUCCAUCUUGUUUGGCCGCUCCGGCCACGGGCGAGCUGCGCCCUCUUGAUUUCAGUGCCGCCACCACGGCUACUUUGGCAUUAAACUACGGACGGCGUCGCGGCUCCGUCGGGGAAUCAGAUCACGUCGUGAUCAUCAUCAGAUUAAAACAAACAAACGAACACGAAUUCAUCUUUGCCUUGUCAUCUCUGUCUGGACUGUGCGCUGAUUGGAUUCGAUCCGUGUGUUGUUUGCUUGCGUGCGCGCAGAUGGUCCGCGAUUGCCGCCCGGCUGCCGGGGAGGACGGACAACGAGAUCAAGAACGUGUGGCACACCCACCUCAAGAAGCGGCUCGACCCCGGCGCGCAGGAGCAGCUCGAGGAGGCCAGCGCCGCCAAGAAGCGCAAGAAGCCGGCGGCGGCGGCGCGGAAGCGCGAGGGCAAGAUCAAGAUGAGGAAGCUCGACGCGCUGACCGCCAAGGCGGCGCCCGUGCUGUCCUCGCCCGACCGCUCCGUCUCGUCCACGCUCACCGAGUCCACGUCCACGGCCUCGGCGGCGGAGGAGCAGCACGGCAACUCGGGCAGCUCCGCCUCCGCCUCGGCGUCCGUCAAGGAGGAGUGCUUCACCUCGUCCGAGGAGUCGGAGGAGUUCCAGAUCGACGAGAGCUUCUGGUCGGAGACGCUGUCCAUGCCGCUGGACGACAUCAACGACGUCUGCAUGGAGCCCCACGACGCGUUCGGCAAGCCCGCCGACGGCGACAUGGACUACUGGCUCAAGGUGUUCAUGGAGGGCGGCGGCGACGACAACAACGACGGCGCGCUAGACUUACCGCAGAUUUAGGGAGGGAGACUUGGCUCCUGAUUGAUCGUUCUUUUUUCUCUCUCUACCCGCGCCACCUUGCUGCACCGGAGGGAUUGCUAACAGAGAAGAGUGCGCUGCACCGUGGAGGAAAAUUAGUAGCCAGCAAGAACGCGGAUCAUGCCCGGUCGGUAGAUUUCUUUGAUCCAUCUUGUUUGUUCACCUUGCUGUAUAGAAAGAUGAGAGAUCAGUGAUCGGAACCGAUGCAUUCUGAGUUAGAGAUUAUCUGUUCUUCCGCACAGGGUGCAAAUAUCAGUUUCUGUACCACCAUGGAGAUUACUAUCUGAAAUGGAGUCUGCUUUUCUCAUUUGGCUGAUCAAAACCGAUCAUUCCUCACUGCAUGUGUGCUCAGUUACCGAAUCACAUCAUGUGAUGUUUUGGAGAAGUGUGAGGAUUAAACCAGUGUAUGUAUCAGUACGGGCUUUUGUC
Molecule: ribosomal RNA, 2067 nt
Filed under: Triticum aestivum (bread wheat)
Lineage: Eukaryota; Viridiplantae; Streptophyta; Magnoliopsida; Poales; Poaceae
Description: partial small subunit ribosomal RNA
Source: RNAcentral